Solanum stenotomum is the source of this 324-nucleotide long non-coding RNA. RefSeq lists it as uncharacterized. The transcript has 2 exons. Lineage: Eukaryota; Viridiplantae; Streptophyta; Magnoliopsida; Solanales; Solanaceae. The record is from RefSeq and is a predicted model, not a curated record.
GAAGGGAGAAAGUUAUUUGGGAACUAAAGCAAUGUUAUUUGGAUUACUACUCUGGGUCUGGGUGUUCGAUACAGGUUAGAAAUUCAGUCAAAAUGCUUAAAGGAUAAAGUGCUCACUUCUCAGAUAUCUGUCAAUAUUCUUCAUCAAUGGCUUUUUGGACUAAAAAUUUAGAGGCCAGGAAGUAUUAAUUAAUUUAUCUAAAGUCUGUUUAUACAUGUUGUAAAACUUCAUUAUCAGUUAUUAGUGGGUCCUUUUGUAGAGAUUAAGUGAUCACUGAAAGCUAGCUAGCUACUUUUUUUUAAAUAUAUUUCACCUUCAUGUAUU